UACGGGGGGAGCAAGCGUUGUUCGGAUUUACUGGGCGUAAAGGGCGCGUAGGCGGCCACCGCAAGUCGACUGUGAAAUCUCCAGGCUUAACCCGGAAAGGUCAGCCGAUACUGCGGGGCUAGAGUGCAGAAGGGGCAACUGGAAUUCUCGGUGUAGCGGUGAAAUGCGUAGAUAUCGAGAGGAACACCUGCGGCGAAGGCGGGUUGCUGGGCUGACACUGACGCUGAGGCGCGAAAGCUAGGGGAGCGAACGGG
RNAcentral lists this ribosomal RNA (254 nucleotides) under uncultured bacterium. Its description in RNAcentral is "partial 16S ribosomal RNA". It matches the Rfam family "Bacterial small subunit ribosomal RNA", at positions 524 to 776 of the family's 1533-position model. The record is from RNAcentral.